GGGCCUGUGGUCUAUUGGUAUGACGCCACCUUGACAUGGUGGAGACAGGGAGUUCGAUUCUCCUCAGGCCCA
Molecule: transfer RNA, 72 nt
Filed under: Candidatus Iainarchaeum sp.
Lineage: Archaea; Nanobdellati; Candidatus Iainarchaeota; Candidatus Iainarchaeia; Candidatus Iainarchaeales; Candidatus Iainarchaeaceae
Description: tRNA-Val
Rfam family: tRNA
About the family: Transfer RNA (tRNA) molecules are approximately 80 nucleotides in length. Their secondary structure includes four short double-helical elements and three loops (D, anti-codon, and T loops). Further hydrogen bonds mediate the characteristic L-shaped molecular structure. tRNAs have two regions of fundamental functional importance: the anti-codon, which is responsible for specific mRNA codon recognition, and the 3' end, to which the tRNAs corresponding amino acid is attached (by aminoacyl-tRNA synthetases). tRNAs cope with the degeneracy of the genetic code in two manners: having more than one tRNA (with a specific anti-codon) for a particular amino acid; and 'wobble' base-pairing, i.e. permitting non-standard base-pairing at the 3rd anti-codon position.
Source: RNAcentral